Long non-coding RNA from Sarcophilus harrisii (Tasmanian devil), 591 nucleotides. RefSeq lists it as uncharacterized. The transcript is spliced from 3 exons. Lineage: Eukaryota; Metazoa; Chordata; Mammalia; Dasyuromorphia; Dasyuridae. The record is from RefSeq and is a predicted model, not a curated record.
GAAGCCAGAGUUGGGGAAGAUCCAACGGCGUUGUCUCACGGAACUCACAGCCUGCAGCAGGGUCAGCCCUUGCCUCAGCAUGAGGGCCCAGGAACCUCCCUCUGGGAGCAAUAAUCCCAGCUCAUGUGUCUAUAACACAGCAAGAUUAAGGACGGCUCUUCUCACAACUUUGUGAGCUCCCACUGUCAUUCUGAGCCAAGAGGAGGGCUGGAACCGACUGCAACAGGCUGAGAAGGACUACAUUACCCUCUCCGACUCCAUUUUUUUUUUUGUCUUUCACUCAAAUUCCUGUAAUUUUCACCAUCUCCUAUCCCCUAAGCCUUCCUUAGCCCAGGCUGAGUUUCUGGGAGACUUUGGGAAGCUGCCCCAAACUCCUAGUUUCUAAGUCCAGUUUUUUUUCUUCUAGGAGUGCUGUGUCCCACUGUCCCACCUAGGACCUGUCCCCCACCCCACCCCACCCCACCCCCCAUGGUCUUGUACAUCUAGGCACUCCUUGCUGUAAAGACUUCCUCCUAAAACAGGCUCCCUUCCUCUCCUCCCUCCCUCCGCCUGCACAACUGCAUUUUCUUAUCCCCAAAGACCACUCACGCA